This 454-nucleotide ribosomal RNA is filed under the name uncultured Prevotella sp. Its description in RNAcentral is "bacterial SSU rRNA". It matches the Rfam family "Bacterial small subunit ribosomal RNA", at positions 341 to 792 of the family's 1533-position model. The record is from RNAcentral. Lineage: Bacteria; Pseudomonadati; Bacteroidota; Bacteroidia; Bacteroidales; Prevotellaceae.
ACGGGAGGCAGCAGUGAGGAAUAUUGGUCAAUGGGCGAGAGCCUGAACCAGCCAAGUAGCGUGCAGGAUGACGGCCCUAUGGGUUGUAAACUGCUUUUAUAAGGGAAUAAAGUGAGUCUCGUGAGACUUUUUGCAUGUACCUUAUGAAUAAGGACCGGCUAAUUCCGUGCCAGCAGCCGCGGUAAUACGGAAGGUCCGGGCGUUAUCCGGAUUUAUUGGGUUUAAAGGGAGCGUAGGCCGGAGAUUAAGCGUGUUGUGAAAUGUAGACGCUCAACGUCUGCACUGCAGCGCGAACUGGUUUCCUUGAGUACGCACAAAGUGGGCGGAAUUCGUGGUGUAGCGGUGAAAUGCUUAGAUAUCACGAAGAACUCCGAUUGCGAAGGCAGCUCACUGGAGCGCAACUGACGCUGAAGCUCGAAAGUGCGGGUAUCGAACAGGAUUAGAUACCCUGGUA